UCGGAGAAUCGGUUUUUCAAA
Non-coding RNA from Caenorhabditis elegans, 21 nucleotides. Lineage: Eukaryota; Metazoa; Nematoda; Chromadorea; Rhabditida; Rhabditidae. The record is from Ensembl.